Molecule: long non-coding RNA, 2446 nt
Filed under: Sus scrofa (pig)
Lineage: Eukaryota; Metazoa; Chordata; Mammalia; Artiodactyla; Suidae
Description: lncRNA (ENSSSCG00060077448.1)
Source: RNAcentral
AACAUUUUCAAGGAUUGACCACAUACUGGGGCACAAAACUAACCUCAACAAAUUUAAGAGCAUAGACAUUGUUUCAAGCAUCUUCUCUGACUACAGUAGUAUGAAACUAGCACAGGAAAAGAAAUGAGACAAAAAAAAAAAAACGACUACAGGGAGACUAAACAGCAUGCUACUAAAAAACCAAUGGGUCAAUGAGGAAAUCCAAAGGGAAAUUUAAAAAAAUACCUCAAGACAAAUGACAAUGCAAACACAACUAUUCAAAAUAUAUGGGAUGCCACAAAAGCAGUUCUUAGAGGGAAGUUCACAGCAGUACAGGCCUUCCUCAAAAAAGAAGAAAAAUCUCAAAUCAACAACUUAACCUACCACCUAAAAGAAUUAGAAAAGAAGAACAAACAAAAUGUAAGUUCAGCAGAAGGAAGGAAAUUGUAAAGAUUGGAGAAGAAAUCAAUAAAAUAGAGAUUCAAAAAACAAUAGAAAAAAAUAAAACCAAGAGCUGGCUCUUUGAAAGGGUAAACAAAAUUGACAAACCUCUAGCCAGACUCACCAAGAAGACAGAGAGAGAGACCCCACAUAAACGAAAUAAGAAAUGAAAAAAAGAGAAAUCUCAGCAGAUACAGCAGAAAUACAAAGAAAAAAAAAGAGAAUAUGCUACCGUAUUUUACAACCUAGAAGAAAUGGAAAACUUUCUAGAGACAUGCAGCCCACCAAAACUGACUCAAGAGGAAAUAGAUCAUUUGAACAGACAAUGACUAGAAAUGAAAUUGAAUAUAUAAUAAAAACACUCCCUACAAACAAAAGUCUAGGACCAGAUGGCUUCAUAGGUGAAUUCUACCAAACAUACAAAGGAAAACUUAUACCCAACCUUCUUAGAACUUUUCCAAAAGGCUGAAGUAGAAACACUCCCAAAGACAUUCUAUGAAGCCACCAUCAUCCUAAUACCAAAAUUAGACAAAGAUACUACCAAACAACAAAAUUAUAGGCCAGUAUCUUUGAUGAAUAGACUCAAAAAUUCAACAAAAUUUUAGCCAACAGAAUCCAAUAACACAUAAAAAAGAUCAUACAGCACAACUAAGUGGGUUUCAUCCCAAGUUCACAAGGAUGGUUCAAUAUAUGCAAAAUCAAUCAGUGUUAUACACCACAUUAACAAAAGAAAAGUCAAAAACCACAUGAUCAUCUCAAUGGAUAUAGAAAAAUCUUUUGACAAAAUCCAACAUCCAUUUAUAAGAAAAAUUCUUUACCAAAGUGGGUGUAGAGGGAACAUAUCUUACCAUAAUAAAAGCCAUUUAUGACAAACCCACAGCCAGUAUAAUAUUCAAGGGUGAAAAAUUGAAAGACUUCCUACGAAAAGCUGGCACAAGACAAGGAUGCCCACUCUCACUACUCAACAUAGUAUUGAAAGUCCGAGCCAUAGCGAUAAGACAAACCAAAGAAAUAAAAGAUAUCCAAAUUGGAAGAGAAGAGGUAAAAUUGUCACUAUAUGCAGAUGACAUACUAUAUACAUAAAACCCUAAGGAGUCCACAAAAAAUUUACUCAAGCUGAUCAACAAAUUCAGCAAAAUAGCAGGUGACAAGAUUAACAUUCAGAAAUCGGUUGCAUUUCUAUAUACUAACAAUGAAAUAUUAGAAAAGGAGUAUCAAAAAAUACCUUUUAAAAAAUCACACCCCCAAAAUUAAAUACCUGGGAAUAAACCUGACCAAGGAGGUGAAAGACUUAUAUGCUGAAAACUAUAAAACAUUAUAUUUUUCAAGGAAAUUUAAAGAGGAUUCAAAGUAGAAAGAUAUCUCAUGUUCCUGGAUUGCAAGAAUUAGUAUCAUUAAAAUGGUCAUACUACUCAAAGCAAUCUGCAGAUUUAAUGUGAUCCAUAUCAAAUUACCCAUGACAUUUUUCACAGAACUAGAACAAACAAUCUAAAAAUUUAUAUGGAACCAUGCAAGACCUAGAAUUGCCAAAGCAAUCCUGAGGAACAAAAACCAAGCAGGAGGCAUAACUCUCCCAGACUCCAGGCAAUAUUACAAAGCUACAGUAAUCAAACCAGUAUGGUUCUGGUACCAAAACAGAAAUUCAGACCAAUGAAACAGAAUAGAGAACCCAGAAAUAAACCCAGACAUCUAUGGUCAAUUAAUAUUUGACAAAGGAGGCAAGAAUAUAAAAUGGGGAAAUGACAGUCUCUUCAACAAGUGGUGGGGAAAACUGGACAGCUGCAUGUAAGUCAAUGAAACUAGAACACACCUUCACGUCAUGCACAAAAAUAAACUCAAAAUGGCUUAAAGAUUUAAACAUAAGACAAGAUAGCAUAAAACUCCUAGAAGAGAACACAGGCAAAACAUUCUGACAUCAAUUGUACAAAUGUUUUCUUAGGUUGGUCACCCAAGGCAAUAGAAAAACAAAAAUAAACCAAUGGUACCUAAUCAAACUUACAAGCUUUUGCACACCAAAGGUAACCAU